Quercus lobata is the source of this 389-nucleotide long non-coding RNA. RefSeq lists it as uncharacterized. The transcript is spliced from 3 exons. NCBI's taxonomy places the organism in Eukaryota, Viridiplantae, Streptophyta, Magnoliopsida, Fagales, Fagaceae. The record is from RefSeq and is a predicted model, not a curated record.
UUAACUUUUUUUCUCUCUAAAAAAAACCCUAGCCAUACUACGAUAGAGGAGAUCUUUUCACAUCAAACUCCGCUACGAGAAAAGAAAAAAGAAGAAAGACUUGCGCCACAGUGGAGAUUCGAUUGAUCAUCGCUAUCCCCUUUUGAGUUUUCCAGACUCUGCGAACCAGUGGAUAUUCGUACGGCCGGCCACUGCCAUACCCUGCCGGACUUAGAGCAUCACAAUCGGCAUCCGUCAAAGCUAAAUACGAUCAAACGCCUCAUAGGUUUUGAGAUACGGAGUUAGUGAUUGGCGAUAUUCUGACGAAAGAUCUAUCAUCUCUGCUCUGGCUUAUAAGACAGUUGGUAUCUAUUCAAGAAGAGCUACUUGAUUAAAUAUAAAGGUCAGGC